GUGGGUGUCAAGUAACACAGAGAUAAAGUGAACCAAUGGGUGAAUCAGGGCAACAAAAUGUGCUGUGACAAAUUUGAGGCUCCCAUGCUGUGUCUCCUGACCACCUGGCAUUUCACAGUGACAGCGAGGAGAAAACUUGCCUGCUUUAAAAGUACGCUGGAGCCAAAGGGGAAUCUCCGUGAACGGUUAGCAGAUUAGGGCUUCUGACUCAGAACUGAGUCCUCAUUCCGUCCAGUCCAGGGCAGUUGUGCCUAAGGUCAGCGUCAGUCUCUGGAGAACCCAGAAUAUAGGACUCAUGGCUGAAGGUCCUACAAAGUACAGGGAAAGGAUAAUGCCCAGGUUGCAAGAAGCUUGAAUAGUGUCUCUCUUCCCUUCAGCCCGUGAGGCCCUCGGCAAUCAGGAUCUGACGGACUAGGAACUAUGUAAAAACCAUCACCACAGUUAGGUUUUCUGCCGCGCCUCUGCCUAGGAGCUGGAGAUAAAUGCCAGCCACUUCCAGGAACCGCCUGAGGCUCAUAAAAAAGCUUCUGAAAGUAUAAAACUUCCUUUUCUGGCCAGGCUGAGAGUUUGAAAGGAGUAUUGCUCUGGGGAGAUUCACACUGAAACCUGAGAAGACAUCACCAUAUAAUGCAAAAUGAAAGAUUUUGGACAAAAAAUAAGAGUAUUGAUUCCUGAAUCUUACCACACACACACACUCUUUCAGAAAAGCAGCAUGCUACAUUUACAAUUUGAUGCAUAUGCUGGGCUUGUGCAGUACAGCAUUCUGUGCGCUAAAACUGUCAACACAGAAUGGUCGAAAGGAAAAAGACCAGAUCUGUGUGUCCUGAAGAGUCCAAGAAGAAAAACAAUAAAGAAGCCUACGUGUUGGUUUGAUCACAUCAGUAGGAUAAAUCGUGUUUAUUAAAAUAUUCCACAAGGGUAAUUCAAGCAAGCAGAAAUUCAUUCUGCUCUCUGGUGGAUGGAUAUCAGUUGUUUCCUUCACAGAGCUGCAAAUAAUACCAAGUUCCAGAUCUUAUGAAGUGCAGUGCAGAAAUUGCUUUGAAUAUGUCGCUUUGGAGCAAGCGCUUCCACACACA
Mauremys reevesii (Reeves's turtle) is the source of this 1076-nucleotide long non-coding RNA. RefSeq lists it as uncharacterized. The record is from RefSeq and is a predicted model, not a curated record. The transcript is spliced from 4 exons. NCBI's taxonomy places the organism in Eukaryota, Metazoa, Chordata, Testudines, Geoemydidae.